UUUAUUUGAGAGUUUGAUCCUGGCUCAGGACGAACGCUGGCGGCGUGCUUAACACAUGCAAGUCGAACGAUGAACCUUCCAUGAUCUAUUCGUAGAGAUUGGAAGCGGAUUAGUGGCGAACGGGUGAGUAACGCGUGAGCAACCUGCCUUAAACAACGGGAUAGCCUCGGGAAACCGGGAUUAAUACCGUAUGAGACCCCGCCUUCCCAUGAAGAAGAGGUUAAAGAUUUAUCGGUUUAAGAUGGGCUCGCGUCUGAUUAGCUAGUUGGAGAGAUAAAAGCCCACCAAGGCAACGAUCAGUAACCGGCUUGAGAGAGUGAACGGUCACAUUGGAACUGAGACACGGUCCAAACUCCUACGGGAGGCAGCAGUGGGGAAUAUUGCACAAUGGGGGAAACCCUGAUGCAGCGACGCCGCGUGAGCGAUGAAGGAAUUCGUUUCGUAAAGCUCUGUCCUAGGGGACGAUAAUGACGG
Molecule: ribosomal RNA, 474 nt
Filed under: Gallicola sp.
Lineage: Bacteria; Bacillati; Bacillota; Tissierellia; Tissierellales; Peptoniphilaceae
Description: bacterial SSU rRNA
Rfam family: Bacterial small subunit ribosomal RNA
Source: RNAcentral